CGGCGGACGGGUGAGUAAUGCCUAGGAAUCUGCCUGGUAGUGGGGGACAACGUUUCGAAAGGAACGCUAAUACCGCAUACGUCCUACGGGAGAAAGCAGGGGACCUUCGGGCCUUGCGCUAUCAGAUGAGCCUAGGUCGGAUUAGCUAGUUGGUGGGGUAAUGGCUCACCAAGGCGACGAUCCGUAACUGGUCUGAGAGGAUGAUCAGUCACACUGGAACUGAUACACGGUCCAGACUCCUACGGGAGGCAGCAGGU
RNAcentral lists this ribosomal RNA (257 nucleotides) under uncultured Pseudomonas sp. Its description in RNAcentral is "partial 16S ribosomal RNA". It matches the Rfam family "Bacterial small subunit ribosomal RNA", at positions 96 to 354 of the family's 1533-position model. Lineage: Bacteria; Pseudomonadati; Pseudomonadota; Gammaproteobacteria; Pseudomonadales; Pseudomonadaceae. The record is from RNAcentral.